This 408-nucleotide ribosomal RNA is filed under the name uncultured bacterium. RNAcentral's name for it is "partial 16S ribosomal RNA". It matches the Rfam family "Bacterial small subunit ribosomal RNA", at positions 28 to 526 of the family's 1533-position model. The record is from RNAcentral.
GACGAACGCUGGCGGCGUGCUUAACACAUGCAAGUCGAACGAAGUGGCGAACGGGUGAGUAACGCGUAAUCAACCUGCCCUUCAGAGGGGGACAACAGUUGGAAACGACUGCUAAUACCGCAUACGGAAGGAGGGGAUUGCGUCGUAUGUGCUAGUUGGAGGGGUAACGGCCCACCAAGGCGAUGGUCAGUAGCCGGUCUGGUAGGAUGAACGGCCACAUUGGGCCUGGGACACGGCCCAGACCCCUACGGGAGGCAGCAGUGGGGAAUCUUCCGCAAUUGACGAAAGUCUGACGGAGCAACGCCGCGUGAUUGAUGACUGCCUUCGGGUUGUAAAGCUCUGUUAAUCGGGACGCGGUACCGGAAUAGAAAGCCACGGCUAACUACGUGCCAGCAGCCGCGGUAAUUC